This 1440-nucleotide ribosomal RNA is filed under the name uncultured organism. RNAcentral describes it as "SSU rRNA". It matches the Rfam family "Bacterial small subunit ribosomal RNA". The record is from RNAcentral.
GAUGAACGCUAGCUACAGGCUUAACACAUGCAAGUCGAGGGGCAGCAUGGUCUUAGCUUGCUAAGGCCGAUGGCGACCGGCGCACGGGUGAGUAACACGUAUCCAACCUGCCGUCUACUCUUGGACAGCCUUCUGAAAGGAAGAUUAAUACAAGAUGGCAUCAUGAGUCCACAUGUUCACAUGAUUAAAGGUAUUCCGGUAGACGAUGGGGAUGCGUUCCAUUAGAUAGUAGGCGGGGUAACGGCCCACCUAGUCUUCGAUGGAUAGGGGUUCUGAGAGGAAGGUCCCCCACAUUGGAACUGAGACACGGUCCAAACUCCUACGGGAGGCAGCAGUGAGGAAUAUUGGUCAAUGGGCGAGAGCCUGAACCAGCCAAGUAGCGUGAAGGAUGACUGCCCUAUGGGUUGUAAACUUCUUUUAUAAAGGAAUAAAGUCGGGUAUGCAUACCCGUUUGCAUGUACUUUAUGAAUAAGGAUCGGCUAACUCCGUGCCAGCAGCCGCGGUAAUACGGAGGAUCCGAGCGUUAUCCGGAUUUAUUGGGUUUAAAGGGAGCGUAGAUGGAUGUUUAAGUCAGUUGUGAAAGUUUGCGGCUCAACCGUAAAAUUGCAGUUGAUACUGGAUAUCUUGAGUGCUGUUGAGGCAGGCGGAAUUCGUGGUGUAGCGGUGAAAUGCUUAGAUAUCACGAAGAACUCCGAUUGCGAAGGCAGCCUGCUAAGCUGCAACUGACAUUGAGGCUCGAAAGUGUGGGUAUCAAACAGGAUUAGAUACCCUGGUAGUCCACACGGUAAACGAUGAAUACUCGCUGUUUGCGAUAUACUGCAAGCGGCCAAGCGAAAGCGUUAAGUAUUCCACCUGGGGAGUACGCCGGCAACGGUGAAACUCAAAGGAAUUGACGGGGGCCCGCACAAGCGGAGGAACAUGUGGUUUAAUUCGAUGAUACGCGAGGAACCUUACCCGGGCUUAAAUUGCAGAUGAAUUACGGUGAAAGCCGUAAGCCGCAAGGCAUCUGUGAAGGUGCUGCAUGGUUGUCGUCAGCUCGUGCCGUGAGGUGUCGGCUUAAGUGCCAUAACGAGCGCAACCCUUGUUGUCAGUUACUAACAGGUUCUGCUGAGGACUCUGACAAGACUGCCAUCGUAAGAUGUGAGGAAGGUGGGGAUGACGUCAAAUCAGCACGGCCCUUACGUCCGGGGCUACACACGUGUUACAAUGGGGGGUACAGAGGGCCGCUACCACGCGAGUGGAUGCCAAUCCCAAAAACCUCUCUCAGUUCGGACUGGAGUCUGCAACCCGACUCCACGAAGCUGGAUUCGCUAGUAAUCGCGCAUCAGCCACGGCGCGGUGAAUACGUUCCCGGGCCUUGUACACACCGCCCGUCAAGCCAUGGGAGCCGGGGGUACCUGAAGUGCGUAACCGCGAGGAGCGCCCUAGGGUAAAACUGGU